RNAcentral lists this non-coding RNA (29 nucleotides) under Homo sapiens (human). The record is from RNAcentral. Lineage: Eukaryota; Metazoa; Chordata; Mammalia; Primates; Hominidae.
ACCNCUUUCAGGGUCAUGAAUGAGGCUGC